GAUGAACGCUGGCGGCGUGCCUAAUACAUGCAAGUCGAGCGAUCAGACUAGGUGCUUGCUCCUCUUUCGUUAGCGGCGGACGGGUGAGUAACACGUGGAGAACCUGCCUAUAAGCCUGGGAUAACUUCUGGAAACCGAUGCUAAUACCGGAUAAUAUAUUUAACCGUAUGUUUCAAUAUUGAAAGAUGGUUUUGCUUUCCCUAAUGGAUGUAUCCGGGUGGCAUAAGCUAGUUGGUAAGUUAAGGGCUUACCAAGGCAACGAUGCGUAGCCGACCUGAGAGGGUGAUCGGCAAAACGGGAACGGAAAAACGGUCAAGACUCCUAGGGGAGGAAGAAGAAGGGAAUUUUGCGAAAUGGGCGAAAGCCUGACGGAGAAACGCGGCGUGAGGAAUGAAGGUUUUCGGAUCGAAAAACUCGGUGAUAAGGGAAGACCAAAUGUGUAAGUAAAAAUGCACGAAUUGACGGUACCUAAUCAGAAAGCGACGGCUAACUACGUG
RNAcentral lists this ribosomal RNA (497 nucleotides) under uncultured bacterium. RNAcentral's name for it is "partial 16S ribosomal RNA". It matches the Rfam family "Bacterial small subunit ribosomal RNA", at positions 28 to 507 of the family's 1533-position model. The record is from RNAcentral.